This 1164-nucleotide long non-coding RNA is filed under the name Citrus maxima (pomelo). Its description in RNAcentral is "long non-coding RNA (CMAX_LNC003283)". Lineage: Eukaryota; Viridiplantae; Streptophyta; Magnoliopsida; Sapindales; Rutaceae. The record is from RNAcentral.
AUUUGCUUUUGUUUGUUGGAAGCUGAGGGAGUACGUUGAUGAUACAGAGGACUACAUUAACAUAAUGCUGGAUGACAAACAGAAUCAUCUUCUGCAAAUGGGGGUCAUGCUAACGACAGCAACCCUUGUGGUGAGUGCAUUUGUUGUUGUGGCUGGUAUUUUCGGGAUGAAUAUCAACAUCGAGCUGUUCGAUGAGCAUAAAUCAGGGAUGCAAGAGUUUCUCUGGACUGUUGGUGGCGGCGCCACUGGCAGCAUAUUCCUAUAUGUUGUUGCCAUUGCCUGGUGCAAGCACAAACGUUUGCUGGAGUAAUAUAAUCCUGCUGUGUAUCAGUAAAGAAGCAAUUGAUUUCAGGAGCUGUUGUGUCGAUGGAUUUACUAUGUACAAACAUAAACGCACCCUUUGAUAAGCUGGAGCAUGCAUCCUGUUUUUUUGUGAAUACUAUGAGAUAUGCUUCGAGUGCAGGGAACAUUAAUAUUUAAUAUUUAAUACACUUUCUACGUGCCUGAAGAUUCGUAAUUGAUAAUGUAACGUGAUCACUAUAAACUAUUCUGAUGAGCAACGUAGCAGUUGACGGAAACGUAUUUUUAAUAAAUAUCAUUAGUUCGCUUCCAAAAGUUUUCGUUUCGACUCUUGUCAAUGAUGCUGCCACUCGAUUAAUUAAUUAAAAUUUUCAGAUAUCUUGCAAUUAAUCAAAUUUAUCUGCAGUCAGCGUACUACAAACGGAUCAAACAGCAUUGACCAUGAGAAUCUACCCGCCACGAUCUAGACCUGAACAUGAAGACAACCCUGAUCCGACGCAACAGCCCACCACUAACCUGGCAGUCACCUCGGUUGGGGGGAUCCGGAAGAAGGUAGCCGGAGUUCGACCCUGGUUGGUUUUAGAUUCAACCGGGCAGACGCAGGUGGUGGAAGCCGGAAAGCACGCCAUCAUGAGGCGGACGGGGCUGCCAGCCCGGGACCUUCGGAUCCUUGAUCCGAUGCUCUCAUACCCAUCAACUAUACUGGGUCGAGAAAGUGCCAUAGUCAUCAAUUUGGAGCAGAUCAAGGCCAUCAUCACUGCACAGGAAGUCCUUUUGCUGAACUCUAGAGACCCUUCUGUUGCUCCCUUUGUUGAAGAGUUGAAAAGGAGGAUUUUGUGUCACUAUCAGGCCACUAAAGCUCAG